This is an RNA transcript of Meriones unguiculatus (Mongolian gerbil), 2670 nucleotides long. It is a transcript of the gene named upstream transcription factor 1, with no coding region annotated. The transcript is spliced from 12 exons. The record is from RefSeq and is a predicted model, not a curated record. NCBI's taxonomy places the organism in Eukaryota, Metazoa, Chordata, Mammalia, Rodentia, Muridae.
GUAGGCUGGGCGGGUCGAAGAGACACUUCCGCCCCUCACCAACAUGGCGGCAGGCCGGGACUGCGCAUGAGCAGCUGUCUAUGGCGAGACCUAGCUCCAAAGAGGGAGAAAGCCGUGGUGGGAAAUUGGCGGCUGAGGCGGCCUGGGCCGGAUUUAGCACUCUGCCCAAGCCUUUGAGGCAGGAGCUACAGAGACCUCCAAAAGAAGACCAGUUCCUCGGAUGAGCCCCUCCCAGAGAGAUGAAGGGGCAGCAGAAAACAGCUGAAACUGAAGAGGGGACGGUGCAGAUUCAGGAAGGUGCAGUGGCUACUGGAGAGGACCCAACUAGUGUAGCCAUCGCCAGCAUCCAGUCAGCUGCCACCUUCCCUGACCCCAACGUCAAGUACGUCUUCCGAACUGAGAAUGGGGGCCAGGUGAUGUACAGGGUGAUCCAGGUGUCUGAAGGGCAGCUGGAUGGUCAGACAGAGGGCACUGGCGCUAUCAGUGGCUACCCUGCCACUCAGUCCAUGACCCAGGCAGUGAUCCAGGGCGCUUUCACCAGCGAUGAUGCAGUUGACACGGAGGGAGCAGCUGCCGAGACACAUUACACUUACUUUCCCAGCACCGCAGUGGGAGACGGGUCAGGGGGUACCACAUCAGGGAGUACCACCGCUGUGGUCACCACCCAAGGCUCAGAGGCACUGCUGGGGCAGGCCACCCCUCCCAGCACUGGUCAAUUCUUUGUGAUGAUGUCACCACAAGAAGUAUUGCAGGGAGGGAGCCAGCGGUCAAUUGCCCCUAGGACUCACCCUUAUUCCCCGAAGUCAGAGGCUCCUAGGACAACGCGAGACGAGAAACGUAGGGCCCAGCACAAUGAAGUGGAGCGCCGCCGCCGGGACAAGAUCAACAACUGGAUUGUACAGCUGUCCAAAAUCAUCCCAGACUGCUCUAUGGAGAGUACCAAGUCUGGCCAGAGUAAAGGCGGAAUCCUGUCCAAAGCCUGUGAUUAUAUCCAGGAGCUGCGGCAGAGCAACCACCGGUUGUCUGAAGAGCUGCAGGGGUUAGAUCAACUGCAGCUAGACAACGAUGUGCUUAGACAACAGGUGGAAGACCUUAAAAACAAGAACCUGCUACUACGAGCUCAGUUACGGCACCAUGGCUUAGAGGUCGUCAUCAAGAAUGACAGCAACUAACGAUGGGGACUCGGGCUUUGGCCCUAGAACUGCAGACAGCCUGGAAGCAGCAGGCGAAUCCCGUGCCCCUUCCCUUCACUGCCUACUUCUGGCGUGGGACUCGGGGGAGUUUGGCAAGUGUGUCUUUGACCUGAGGCCCGUGGUGUGGUGGCCUGCAGUGAGUGGUGUGAAGCACGCCGCGGACACGCACCGACAGCCUUGCCAGCUCCCACCAUGCUGUCCCCGGGCCCUGGUGCCCCUUUUGCACAUUGCAUGUGCUGUCCCCUUGAUGGACCGCGGACACUAAGCCUGGGUUUGCCCUGUGCUCGCUUCGAGCGCCCAGCAGAGGGUCCGUGGGCACUCUGUGGGUCUAGCACUUGUACUGGUUCUUCCUUGCUCUGGAGCAGAAGUGAAGGUGUGCACCGGAGUCCUCUGGGGAGUGGGCUUGUUCAGGAGGUGGGGAAGGGUGCUUGGUGGCUGCUAUCCCGCGAGUAGGGAGGGCUCAGUGAGCAGCCGAGGCCUCUGCAGAAGCUUCUGGAGCCAGGGAGAACCGAACGGGCUCACUGGGAGCCUUCCCCAUCUUGGGGGGAUGGUUCUUUUUAUUUCUUUCCUUUUUUUUUUUUUUUUUUUUAAGAUAAAAUUGUUUAGAGCCACAGUUGUCCGUUUUCCUCCUUUUGUGGGGCCCUGGGGGAAGGGAGACUACAUAUUACUCUUUGACCAGUAAGGGCUGGGUCAACCUUUGGGUGGGGUGCUACUAUUUCUAUACUCAUUACCCAGAGUCCUGGUACCUGUGCCAAACCUGGAUAUCAAUUUCCGGCCUACACCAGGCAGUCUUAAAAGGUUUCAGCUGUGGGCUGGUGUUAGAGGUAUCACAGACAGGUGCUCCGGAGCUCUGUGUGUGUCCUCUGGGGGCCAUGCCUUUGCUUCCGGUUCCGGUCUUUCUGGCUGGGCUCAGGGGGACAGAGUGAGAUACUUCAGGCCGAAUUCCUGUGUCACAGUCACGCAAUUGGUACUGCUGAAACCAUGACUAGAGGUACCUGAGAACCCCCGGGUUGUGAUGGUGAGGUGUAUGCUGGUCCCGCGGGUAGGGUUGUUUGUGGAGACAAGAGCAUAGGGGUGUGGCUUCAGUCCUUAUGAACAGCGCCACAGGGUGGGGAAGCAGCCAUUGCUGGGGUACAAAGGCUGCAAGGGUCUUGUCCCCCAGUUCUCAAGUCUUCUGUGUCCUCUUUCUCAGUGUCUACAGUCUCAUUCUCUGAGCUCCGUUCGCUCCUAGCCUCAGGCAGGGCCCGGCUCUUCGAUGUUCGAUCUCGGGAGGAGGCAGCAGCUGGCACCAUCCCUGGGGCACUCAACAUCCCUGGGCUCGGAACUAUGCUGGGGCCUAUAAGGAAUGGCUGGAGAAAGAGGGCUAGGUAGAGGACUUCCUGGUUGUGAUCCUUCUCGUGGUCACCUUGCUGGGCUGGGCAAGUCAUUGUGGACCUUUGCACAUGAAAAACUCAAAUAAAGAGCAUUUAAUUAAGUA